CCUACGGGCGGCUGCAGUGGGGAAUAUUGGACAAUGGGCGAAAGCCUGAUCCAGCCAUGCCGCGUGUGUGAAGAAGGCCUUCGGGUUGUAAAGCACUUUCAGUGGGGAAGAAAGCCUUGGGGCUAAUACCCUCGAGGAAGGACAUCACCCACAGAAGAAGCACCGGCUAACUCCGUGCCAGCAGCCGCGGUAAUACGGAGGGUGCGAGCGUUAAUCGGAAUUACUGGGCGUAAAGCGCGCGUAGGCGGUCUGAUAAGCCGGUUGUGAAAGCCCCGGGCUCAACCUGGGAACGGCAUCCGGAACUGUCAGGCUAGAGUGCAGGAGAGGAAGGUAGAAUUCCCGGUGUAGCGGUGAAAUGCGUAGAGAUCGGGAGGAAUAUCAGUGGCGAAGGCGGCCUUCUGGACUGACACUGACGCUGAGGUGCGAAAGCGUGGGUAGCAAACAGGAUUAGAUACCCCAGUAGUC
Molecule: ribosomal RNA, 465 nt
Filed under: Vreelandella stevensii
Lineage: Bacteria; Pseudomonadati; Pseudomonadota; Gammaproteobacteria; Oceanospirillales; Halomonadaceae
Description: partial 16S ribosomal RNA
Rfam family: Bacterial small subunit ribosomal RNA
Source: RNAcentral